Long non-coding RNA from Musa acuminata subsp. malaccensis (wild Malaysian banana), 1649 nucleotides. RefSeq lists it as uncharacterized. NCBI's taxonomy places the organism in Eukaryota, Viridiplantae, Streptophyta, Magnoliopsida, Zingiberales, Musaceae. The record is from RefSeq and is a predicted model, not a curated record.
GUCGGCGAUCUUCUUCGAGUCGCUUCCCUCCUCCAUGAUUAACGCCUAACAAACAAGAACAGGAGCAUAAUGACAUGAUCGAUCCACAUAGACGGAGAGCAAAGAAAUAAAAGAUGGACAUAUUUGAUCAGCAAAUGAUACAUAAAAGGAGUAGCAAGCUGCAUGCAAGUUUUUUGUUUAGGUGAUAUGAUCAUGCUUGAGAAAAUUGGCCUUCAUGGGUUGAAUGUGAAGAUCAUCUCUGCAGGCGCCUGCAGGUGGUGAGCUCUUGUGAUAAGAUAGCAUUCUGAGAAGUGCCAUGGAAACACAUGCCACUACUGAACAAUCAAAUAGAGCUAUUUAAAGACUCGGGAAACACUGAAAAGGGGAUUUCUAUCCUUCUAUUGGAGCUUCUAGUGGUAUAUUAUUAGCUCGGUCUAUUAAUUUAGCAAAUGUUCAGGUGCUAUCUAAACACCCUUAUUUUAUUCAUGAAAUAACUCAAUUAAAUAAUGAUAAACCUUGGUUUCUGUUAGGUAUUAAUGCUAGUACUUCUGUUGUUUAUAAAAAUAAUGAAAUUCUCUUUCUGAUUUAAACUUCUUCGACAUUUCUUGGUGUAUUUUAGAAGAUUUCAAUUAUAUUUUAAAUUCACAUGAUAAAAUUGGUGAUAAAAUAUUUGUUAUUAACUGCUCUACUUGUGUUUUCCAUGAAUUUAUAAAAAAAUAUGAUUUAACUUAUUUAAGUUUUUCUAGUUCUAAUUAUACAUACUGUAUUAAUCAUACUGGCUAUGCUAGAAUCUCUGUUAGAUUAGAUUGUGUCUUUGGUAAUUUUAUCGUAGAUGAAUAUUUAUGGCAAAUUUUCUGUUUAUCAUUUUUUUAGACUUCAUUCUGAUCAUGAUCAUGUUAAAUAUUAAGUCUACUUAGUUAAUUUGUAAUAAUUUUUUUUAUUAUUGAUGGGCGUAUUCGUACAGUUUUGUCCUUUCGGAACAUGUGAGCUCCAAAAGGUGCCUCUGAAGGUAAGGGAGACCUGGCGGACUUAUGAGCCCUUGAUUCUCAUACUCCUCAACCAAUGUGGGACUAAAUGACUUUAUCAGUGCUCUCUCCCAUAGGGGAACUAAGGGCUUAUAACCAAGGUGCACGACUCGGGAGCGAGUUUGCUUGGCCGAGGUGUAGGCCUCGGGCCCUCCUUCUAGCGCUAAUCAGAUAGUGGUCCCUUACAUCGUGGCUGAGGAGUUAACACGGCUUGGUUCGGUCCCGAGCGUGCAAGAUCAUCCAUGUCGAUACUCGGGCGACGAGAGUCGUCGUCUGAUGGGGUCGAGCUUGGGCUUUGGCUUCGAGAUUUGGAGACACCCUUUGGCUGGCUGCCCUCCUCUCUAUCGCUUGUCCCUACACAUAGGUCGGGGUCGGGAAGGGGACUCCCGACUCCGACCCCUCCGAAGAUUUUAUUAGAACUGGGUGGAAAAUAGCCCAAGAACCAAUCUCAUCGCCGGCCCCACAAUAGGUUUUUUAUCCUCCACCCCGGGGACCGGCCGUAUCUAUCGUAUUUAUGGCUGUCGACCCAUCGGGCGGCGGACCGGUGCCAUCCCGACUUUUGUGGGUCGACGCUGUACUUGGUCGGCGUCGUCCCGACUUUUGUGGGUCGACGUUGUACUUGGUCGGCGUCGUCCCGACUUUUAU